AGACUUAGUGGCGGACGGGUGAGUAAUGUAUGAGCAACCUGCCUUCAAGAGGGGAAUAACAGUCGGAAACGACUGCUAAUACCGCAUAAUAAAGCGUAGUCGCAUGACAAUGCUUUCAAAGGAGCAAUCCGCUUGAAGAUGGGCUCAUAUCUGAUUAGAUAGUUGGUGAGGUAACGGCUCACCAAGUCUGCGAUCAGUAGCCGGACUGAGAGGUUGAACGGCCACAUUGGAACUGAGAUACGGCCCAGACUCC
Molecule: ribosomal RNA, 253 nt
Filed under: uncultured Eubacteriales bacterium
Lineage: Bacteria; Bacillati; Bacillota; Clostridia; Eubacteriales
Description: uncultured Clostridiales bacterium partial 16S ribosomal RNA
Rfam family: Bacterial small subunit ribosomal RNA
Source: RNAcentral